ACAGCAGUCGCCGCGGGAAUACAGAGGGUGCGAGCGUUAAUCGGAUUUACUGGGCGUAAAGCGUGCGUAGGCGGCUUUUUAAGUCGGAUGUGAAAUCCCCGAGCUUAACUUAGGAAUUGCAUUCGAUACUGGGAAGCUAGAGUAUGGGAGAGGAUGGUAGAAUUCCAGGUGUAGCGGUGAAAUGCGUAGAGAUCUGAAGGAAUACCGAUGGCGAAGGCAGCCAUCUGGCCUAAUACUGACGCUGAGGUACGAAAGCAUGGGGAGCAAACAGGAUUAGAUACCCGUGUAGUCCCUGUCUCUUAUAC
Molecule: ribosomal RNA, 305 nt
Filed under: uncultured bacterium
Lineage: Bacteria
Description: partial 16S ribosomal RNA
Rfam family: Bacterial small subunit ribosomal RNA
Source: RNAcentral